Molecule: ribosomal RNA, 495 nt
Filed under: uncultured bacterium
Lineage: Bacteria
Description: partial 16S ribosomal RNA
Rfam family: Bacterial small subunit ribosomal RNA
Source: RNAcentral
GAUGAACGCUGGCGGCGUGCCUAAUACAUGCAAGUAGAACGCUGAAGGAGGAGCUUGCUCUUCUGGAUGAGUUGCGAACGGGUGAGUAGCGCGUAGGUAACCUGCCUGGUAGCGGGGGAUAACUAUUGGAAACGAUAGCUAAUACCGCAUGACAACAGUUAUUGCAUGAUAACUGUUUAAAAGGGGCAACUGCUCCACUACCAGAUGGACCUGCGUUGUAUUAGCUAGUUGGUGAGGUAACGGCUCACCAAGGCGACGAUACAUAGCCGACCUGAGAGGGUGAUCGGCCACACUGGGACUGAGACACGGCCCAGACUCCUACGGGAGGCAGCAGUAGGGAAUCUUCGGCAAUGGACGGAAGUCUGACCGAGCAACGCCGCGUGAGUGAAGAAGGUUUUCGGAUCGUAAAGCUCUGUUGUAAGAGAAGAACGAGUGUGAGAGUGGAAAGUUCACACUGUGACGGUAUCUUACCAGAAAGGGACGGCUAACUACGUG